CCGGGAGUUCUGCAUCUUCAUGUGAGGGCUUUGCCAAGACACAGAGAACCCGCAGGGUUGUUGGCUCAGCGGCAGAUCGUCCCACGGGGACAGUCUCUUGUGGUCUGUGUCUCCCCCUUCAGCCCCCUGUGGGGCAGUGAGCCUCCUGCUCUGCUUCUGUGGGUGCAUCAGAGCCCCCCCAGAUGCCCACACGCAGACGCGCACAGGCCUGCACGUGGAAACACAGACAUGCGCACACGCAGGCCCACACACAGACGCACACAGAGCUGCACGUGGAGACACGUGCGCACACGCAGGCCCACACGCAGGCCCACACACAGGUGCACGCGGACCUGCACGUGGAGACACAGAUGUGUGCACAUGCAGGCCCACACACAGGUGAGCGUGGACCUGUGUGAACAGAUGCGCGCAGACCUGCACGUGGAGACACAGACAUGCAGGCGCACAAAGAGAUCCCUCAAGGCUGACACCCAGGAAGGGGCCUCUCACUUGUGGGACUCCCGAGAUGCAGUGGCCAACACGAGUGUAGUGCCCAGUUCACUGCUGGAUAAGACAGAGGCCUGUUCUGGUCACACAUGGGAGGCAGAACCCAGAGACUGGGCCCAGGAGCCCUUCUGCUGACAGUGGGAACUCCCAGCUACGUGUGG
This 647-nucleotide long non-coding RNA is filed under the name Homo sapiens (human). RNAcentral's name for it is "non-protein coding lnc-DGCR6-6:22". Lineage: Eukaryota; Metazoa; Chordata; Mammalia; Primates; Hominidae. The record is from RNAcentral.